Molecule: long non-coding RNA, 965 nt
Organism: Ipomoea nil (Japanese morning glory)
Lineage: Eukaryota; Viridiplantae; Streptophyta; Magnoliopsida; Solanales; Convolvulaceae
Exons: 6
Source: RefSeq, a predicted model, not a curated record
CAACACAUCACACCGUCGCCCCAUCACACCGUCGCCCCAUCACACCACACGCUACACUGUCGCCUAACACCAUCGCCACUGCUCCAGCCCUUCUUAUCGUCGCCACUGUUGCCGCCCACUUCGAGGUCGUCUUCGCCAGCCGCCGCAACAGUCAGCCGUCGCCCCUUUCAACUUCGUAUUCGCCAGCUGCCCCAAGCCGUCGCGUUGCGUCGCCGCAAAAGCUUCACCGGACAUCGCCUCGCCGCACCUGGUCGCCGGAAGUCACCUCGCCGCACACUGCGAUAUAUUAGGUAGUCUACUUGCAUACUUGUGGAACUUUAUCAGGAAAAAUGUCGGCAUAUGAAAAUGUAGUUGUUGGAAAGUUGAAGCUAAAGGGCAAGGCUCUAGAUGUGAAGUCUGGAGGUGCCAAAAAGAAGAAGCACAAGAAGCUGCGUGAUCGUGAUCAUGUGUUCCGAGUCACAACAGCGCAAUGGAUACAAAGAAGAUGAAGAUGGAAACUGAAGAUUAUUAUAUCAUUUGCUUAUAAAGAUAUCAAACUGACCAAUAUUGAAGUUGCUUUCCAAGCUGUGGGAGCAACAACAGAUUGUGGAAGCUGAAAUCAUGAAGUGUAACAAGGCUAUUGAGACCGUGUUACAUGGUGGUAAAAGUGAUUUGUCAAGCAUUGAACAUAUGAUAGAAGAUCCUUCUGAUGCUUAUCUGGAAAUCGAAGAAAUUCAACAGAGCACUAGUCUUACUGUGGAACCCCAAUGCAAGGUACUGAUUAGAUGAUCGUGAGCGUGCUAGAAGGAGCUACGGUUCCUGGCUUAUAUAGUAUUAGUUUAGUCUAGUCGGCCUGUGAGCCUGGCCUGUAUUCGGAUAGUGAUUAUGGAUUGUACUUUGCUUAGAUAGUUAGCCUGUGCAUCUAAGUUCUCUAGCUUAGAUGUGGCAUAACACCCCAACUCUAAUGUUUAGCUUCCGCUCUAUUU